RNAcentral lists this ribosomal RNA (915 nucleotides) under Triticum aestivum (bread wheat). RNAcentral's name for it is "partial small subunit ribosomal RNA". Lineage: Eukaryota; Viridiplantae; Streptophyta; Magnoliopsida; Poales; Poaceae. The record is from RNAcentral.
AUGUGUGAGAAACUGAUUCCAGCUAUCCAUGACCUGUGGCCCGAUGAAGAUGAAGAACGGACCAUCUUUAUCCAGCAAGAUAAUGCUACACCGCAUCUUAAGCCUAGUGACGAGGUUUUUCGACGGGCCGUAGAACAGACCGGUCUGGAUAUCAAGUUGAUCCAGCAACCUCCAAAUAGCCCCGACCUGAAUAUUCUUGAUCUUUGCUUCUUCAGGUCUCUCCAGUCGCAUACCGAUUGCAGAGCACCUCAAAGCAUAAGGGAAUUGAUAGAAGGCGUGGAGGAAGAAUAUCAAAACUAUGAUGUCAACACGUUAGCUCGAAGCUUCGUGACACUGCAAUCAUGCAUGAGAGAGAUUAUGAGAGAAAAAGGAGGGAUAGGCUACAAGAUUCCUCACAUGCAAAAAGAGCGCCAGCAGCAAGAAGGAAGGCUUCCUAUCGCUCUCUCUUUAAACGUUGAGCUAGUUGAGCAAACCUUAGCACUUAUAGCAGCAGCAGACCUCGAGGCAGCAGCAGCAGCACCUUUGAAGCAGAGAAAGAGAAAGAGGAGCAGCAGCACCUUCCAAGCAGAGAAAGGGAAAGAAGACCAGCAACAUCCUCCAAGCAGCAGUACUCUACAAGCAGUAGCAGCACCACCACCACCUUCGAAGCAGAGAAAGAGAAAGAAGAGCAGCAGCGCCCUCCAAGCAAAGAAAGGGAAAGAAGACCAGCAACAUCCUCCAAGCAGCAGUACUCUACAAGCAGUAGCAGCACCACCACCACCUUCGAAGCAGAGAAAGAGAAAGAAGAGCAGCAGCGCCCUCCAAGCAAAGAAAGGAAAAGAAGCAGAGAAAGGGAAAGGAGCAAUUCCGUGCGUCCCUGCAAAGGUUGUGUUCAGCAGGAUAAUGGAAGCAGUUUGCAGGCCAGUAAUGUGUUAA